UCGAUCGAUCGUGUCAUCUGCGCGUGUUUAUUAAAUCGUUUACCAAUAAGGUUAAUUUAACUAAAUGGUGUGUUUAACGAGUUAAGUUUUAUAAACCUCCGAGUCUUUUAUCCAUUGCCGCCUUUUAAUUUAUGUCCAAUAAUCAGUAAGAUGUGCCUUGUGUAAUUUUUAGUGCAGAGCUUUUUUCCGACACAAAAUUUAAGCGCGAAAUCCACACAGCGUGAGAGAGAGAGAGAGAGAAAUGAGAUCUUAGACAAAGUGAACAACAAUAUGGCAAAUACUUGAAGACAACUCGUGAUUAUAUAAUAUAAAUCUGUCUCCAAAAUGCGCAACUGGCUGGCGUCGAGUCCUGCCAGUCCGGCCAAUCCGGCCAGCUCCUGGCUGGCUGCUAAUUAAAAAAGCGUUGCCUACGUGAACUGGCUAUGGCCAUGCCACGCGCGUUAUCAUUGGACACAUAAUUGCCCUCAAUCGGGCUAAAUGAAAACAACUCGUUGACGUUGCCGCCCCACAAACAAAAAUAACAAACAAAAAAAAAAAGUGUUGAGAGUAAGAAAAGCCUAUUACUAUAUCUUCUAUAAGUAACCGCACACUCCGCUCAUAUCUCAUAUAACAAUUAAGCGCUACGCGUCGCUUAAUUGAAAUGUUUCAAGGCAAACAAAUCAACGGGACAGACCGAAGCCCCAACAAAUUGUGGCACGCAAAUUGGAAUUUCAUUGUCUUCCACUGACAACGGCCAAAUUUUCCGCGCGCUCGGAUGACCCUUGGCUAUACAAUAUCCCAAAUAAUCGUAUACAAUGCGCUACCGUACCCAACGACACAACAACAAUGUUUCCCAGUUGACUCACGUAUCCUUGGUCAUGCCAUACCAUAGAUAUAGUCCUGGUAAACGUCCAAAUUCCUGUAAUAUUCGCUCGCAAAUGGCUUCAGCUGGUAUACAGCCGUUUCUUAACAGGGACAGCGAAAGUAUGCAAAACAAACUUGCGGUUUCUGAUUUGACAAUCGACUAAUAUAUUUGCUGCUACCGCAUAUGCAAUGUAAUUAUUCUGCAAGUAGAGAGAGGCUUACAUAAAACACCUGC
Molecule: small RNA, 1078 nt
Filed under: Drosophila virilis
Lineage: Eukaryota; Metazoa; Arthropoda; Insecta; Diptera; Drosophilidae
Description: GJ25665
Source: RNAcentral